Molecule: long non-coding RNA, 1140 nt
Filed under: Gallus gallus (chicken)
Lineage: Eukaryota; Metazoa; Chordata; Aves; Galliformes; Phasianidae
Description: long non-coding RNA NONGGAT005673
Source: RNAcentral
UCAACACAGACUGGUAUUUUCAGACCAAAGUACUGCAAGAUAGUUGUCCUAAGACACUGCUCUUCAUUAAAAAGGGCAUUUUCUUGCCUAUUAGGUAGUGAAACAAAUAGACAGAUUUUCAGAUAUGGCAGCAGUCAGCUCCCAUUGAGAACAGGAGAUGUGUCCCCUCUCCCAGUGAGAAACAAGAAGAUUUCUGCCCAUUUUUCUCACCCCUUUCUCUUUUCUCUCCCCAGUACAUUAUAUGUUCACCAAGAACAGCAGCAAAUGUCUUCAGCUGUUCUACAGCCAAUGGAGAUUUCCCUGUGCACUUGAAUGGAAAUGAAGCUUCUGCUAGCAAGUGUUCCUUUCCAGAUUCAGUCAUUGUAAAGGAAUCCAAAGAUCCUUUUUACAAAGAUCCUCCUCGCUGUUGUGCCUGGAGGAGCCAGGCCGUGCCCCACAUCCAUGGGGCUGCUCCAUUGCUCUGCAAAUGCUGGGCAGUGCUAACAAGCUUUCCUUCAAGCAUAUGCUCAGAUGUCAACACUUCUGCUUUGUCAGAAGCUUAAAAAUGGAAACAGUGUUCUCUUUAAGAAAACAGGACCCAAAUAAGGAGAUGAUGGAGUGGCGAGGAUUCCUCUAGUGAGUCUGUUCCAGCUCAUUCCUUACAAAGGCUGCGUGUGAAAGAUAGAGGCCCACAGAUCUGGGUUUUGUCCAGGGGUCUCCAGGUUUAAAGCUCCCCACAGCCGCUUCAGCUCAGUUUCCCUGUGACUCGGCUGGGCACGACUUCUUUCUCUGCCCCAAAAACAUAAAGCUUUUCUCUUCAGAACUUUUUUGGUUGCGUGACAAACUCAGCCUAUCCUUUAGCAAAAAUGGAAGCUAUCAAGAAAAAGAUGCAGAUGUUGAAGCUGGACAAGGAGAAUGCAAUUGAUAGAGCAGAGCAGGCUGAAACGGAUAAGAAGGCAGCUGAGGACAAAUGCAAACAGGCAAGUAGAAAUCAAAUCACUGAUUGUGCACGUGUUGUGGAAAUCGGUGUAAUGAAGUACUAUGCUGCACUCUGAUUCAGAAAACAUCAUUUGAAUUGGAGUUUCCCAUUAAUCUGUUUUGAAUCUUUUGCCUAUUUAUGAUGUUAAACUCGUACAGCCACUGCUAGGUAUUAAUAAUCUU